GUAGGGCGCAAGCGUUAUCCGGAAUUAUUGGGCGUAAAGAGCUCGUAGGCGGUUUGUCGCGUCUGCUGUGAAAUCCCGAGGCUCAACUUCGGGUCUGCAGUGGGUACGGGCAGACUAGAGUGCGGUAGGGGAGAUUGGAAUUCCUGGUGUAGCGGUGGAAUGCGCAGAUAUCAGGAGGAACACCGAUGGCGAAGGCAGAUCUCUGGGCCGUAACUGACGCUGAGGAGCGAAAGGGUGGGGAGCAAACAGGCUUAGAUACCCUGGUAGUCCACCCCGUAAACGUUGGGAACUAGUUGUGGGGUCCAUUCCACGGAUUCCGUGACGCAGCUAACGCAUUAAGUUCCCCGCCUGGGGAGUACGGCCGCAAGGCUA
This 372-nucleotide ribosomal RNA is filed under the name uncultured bacterium. RNAcentral describes it as "bacterial SSU rRNA". It matches the Rfam family "Bacterial small subunit ribosomal RNA", at positions 527 to 896 of the family's 1533-position model. The record is from RNAcentral.